This 500-nucleotide ribosomal RNA is filed under the name Staphylococcus aureus. RNAcentral describes it as "partial 23S ribosomal RNA". It matches the Rfam family "Bacterial large subunit ribosomal RNA", at positions 12 to 505 of the family's 2925-position model. Lineage: Bacteria; Bacillati; Bacillota; Bacilli; Caryophanales; Staphylococcaceae. The record is from RNAcentral.
UAAGGGCGCACGGUGGAUGCCUUGGCACUAGAAGCCGAUGAAGGACGUUACUAACGACGAUAUGCUUUGGGGAGCUGUAAGUAAGCUUUGAUCCAGAGAUUUCCGAAUGGGGAAACCCAGCAUGAGUUAUGUCAUGUUAUCGAUAUGUGAAUACAUAGCAUAUCAGAAGGCACACCCGGAGAACUGAAACAUCUUAGUACCCGGAGGAAGAGAAAGAAAAUUCGAUUCCCUUAGUAGCGGCGAGCGAAACGGGAAGAGCCCAAACCAACAAGCUUGCUUGUUGGGGUUGUAGGACACUCUAUACGGAGUUACAAAGGACGACAUUAGACGAAUCAUCUGGAAAGAUGAAUCAAAGAAGGUAAUAAUCCUGUAGUCGAAAAUGUUGUCUCUCUUGAGUGGAUCCUGAGUACGACGGAGCACGUGAAAUUCCGUCGGAAUCUGGGAGGACCAUCUCCUAAGGCUAAAUACUCUCUAGUGACCGAUAGUGAACCAGUACCGUG